Carassius carassius (crucian carp) is the source of this 567-nucleotide long non-coding RNA. RefSeq lists it as uncharacterized. The transcript has 3 exons. Lineage: Eukaryota; Metazoa; Chordata; Actinopteri; Cypriniformes; Cyprinidae. The record is from RefSeq and is a predicted model, not a curated record.
UUACAGGAACAGAUUAUGUUUAUCUGCUGUAGAGUGACUGAUGAAGGAAUGCUGCCAUCAAAGGAUUUGUAUCUUUUGUGGUGGAGCAGGACCUGCAAGGAAAGGGGAAAAAAGGAAAUACCUGAAACAAAAGAAUAAAGUAAUGACUUUUUGUAUUGUGUGUGUGUGUUCCACUGCAGCAUCCGGAAAUGGUCCAGAGAUAUGGAUGAGAUGCUCCAUCACUCCAGCUCUCACUGUCUCAUCAGGACCAGAUGCUGCUGUGGUCUCUUCCUCAUCGGUGGCCCCAGAGCAGCGAGAGCAUAUAGAGAAAGACCAAAAGACACCGAGGAUUUGAUUUUGGUAAAGUUUGUUCUGCUGGUUUCUGUUUAUACAAUGAAGGCUGACUUUCAGAAGCUUCAAAAGCAUCAUCAAAAAAUGUGAUGGAGCUUUUAUCUGAAGUCAUUGACAGUGCUCUUAUUACAGGGGCCUACAAUCCUCUGAUCCACCUGGAGAAAAGAGCCGUGCUCACAGACAUACUGGUGGUUUUGAACCAGUUCAGUGGUUUAGCCCACUACAAAAAUAAUAAAU